AAACUCAAAGGAAUUGACGGGGCCCGCACAAGCGGUGGAGCAUGUGGUUAAUUCGAAGCAACGCGAAGAACCUUACCAGGUCUUGACAUCCCCUGACAACCCAAGAGAUUGGGCGUCCCCUUCGGGGGACAGGGUGACAGGUGGUGCAUGGUUGUCGUCAGCUCGUGUCGUGAGAUGUUGGGUUAAGUCCCGCAACGAGCGCAACCCUCGCCUCUAGUUGCCAGCAUUCGGUUGGGCACUCUAGAGGGACUGCCGGCGACAAGUCGGAGGAAGGUGGGGAUGACGUCAAAUCAUCAUGCCCCUUAUGACCUGGGCUACACACGUGCUACAAUGGGCGGUACAAAGGGCUGCGAACCCGCGAGGGGGAGCGAAUCCCAAAAAGCCGCUCUCAGUUCGGAUUGCAGGCUGCAACUCGCCUGCAUGAAGCCGGAAUCGCUAGUAAUCGCGGAUCAGCAUGCCGCGGUCGAAUACGUUCCCGGGCCUU
This 484-nucleotide ribosomal RNA is filed under the name uncultured Geobacillus sp. RNAcentral describes it as "bacterial SSU rRNA". It matches the Rfam family "Bacterial small subunit ribosomal RNA", at positions 897 to 1382 of the family's 1533-position model. The record is from RNAcentral. Lineage: Bacteria; Bacillati; Bacillota; Bacilli; Caryophanales; Anoxybacillaceae.